GCAGUCGAGCGGACAGAUGGGAGCUUGCUCCCUGAUGUUAGCGGCGGACGGGUGAGUAACACGUGGGUAACCUGCCUGUAAGACUGGGAUAACUCCGGGAAACCGGGGCUAAUACCGGAUGGUUGUUUGAACCGCAUGGUUCAAACAUAAAAGGUGGCUUCGGCUACCACUUACAGAUGGACCCGCGGCGCAUUAGCUAGUUGGUGAGGUAACGGCUCACCAAGGCAACGAUGCGUAGCCGACCUGAGAGGGUGAUCGGCCACACUGGGACUGAGACACGGCCCAGACUCCUACGGGAGGCAGCAGUAGGGAAUCUUCCGCAAUGGACGAAAGUCUGACGGAGCAACGCCGCGUGAGUGAUGAAGGUUUUCGGAUCGUAAAGCUCUGUUGUUAGGGAAGAACAAGUACCGUUCGAAUAGGGCGGUACCUUGACGGUACCUAACCAGAAAGCCACGGCUAACUACGUGCCAGCAGCCGCGGUAAUACGUAGGUGGCAAGCGUUGUCCGGAAUUAUUGGGCGUAAAGGGCUCGCAGGCGGUUUCUUAAGUCUGAUGUGAAAGCCCCCGGCUCAACCGGGGAGGGUCAUUGGAAACUGGGGAACUUGAGUGCAGAAGAGGAGAGUGGAAUUCCACGUGUAGCGGUGAAAUGCGUAGAGAUGUGGAGGAACACCAGUGGCGAAGGCGACUCUCUGGUCUGUAACUGACGCUGAGGAGCGAAAGCGUGGGGAGCGAACAGGAUUAGAUACCCUGGUAGUCCACGCCGUANACGAUGAGUGCUAAGUGUUAGGGGGUUUCCGCCCCUUAGUGCUGCAGCUAACGCAUUAAGCACUCCGCCUGGGGAGUACGGUCGCAAGACUGAAACUCAAAGGAAUUGACGGGGGCCCGCACAAGCGGU
This 894-nucleotide ribosomal RNA is filed under the name Bacillus spizizenii. RNAcentral's name for it is "bacterial SSU rRNA". It matches the Rfam family "Bacterial small subunit ribosomal RNA", at positions 57 to 933 of the family's 1533-position model. Lineage: Bacteria; Bacillati; Bacillota; Bacilli; Caryophanales; Bacillaceae. The record is from RNAcentral.